Non-coding RNA from Brugia malayi, 86 nucleotides. NCBI's taxonomy places the organism in Eukaryota, Metazoa, Nematoda, Chromadorea, Rhabditida, Onchocercidae. The record is from RefSeq and is a predicted model, not a curated record.
UGACAGUAUGCAUUACACACACACACACACACACAUCAUUUAUAUGUGUGUGUGUGUGUGUGUGUAUGUGAUUGUGUAAACAGACA